Molecule: ribosomal RNA, 362 nt
Filed under: uncultured Streptococcus sp.
Lineage: Bacteria; Bacillati; Bacillota; Bacilli; Lactobacillales; Streptococcaceae
Description: bacterial SSU rRNA
Rfam family: Bacterial small subunit ribosomal RNA
Source: RNAcentral
UUCGGUACAUCGGUGACAGGUGGUGCAUGGUUGUCGUCAGCUCGUGUCGUGAGAUGUUGGGUUAAGUCCCGCAACGAGCGCAACCCCUAUUGUUAGUUGCCAUCAUUCAGUUGGGCACUCUAGCGAGACUGCCGGUAAUAAACCGGAGGAAGGUGGGGAUGACGUCAAAUCAUCAUGCCCCUCAUGACCUGGGCUACACACGUGCUACAAUGGUUGGUACAACGAGUUGCGAGUCGGUGACGGCGAGCUAAUCUCUUAAAGCCAAUCUCAGUUCGGAUUGUAGGCUGCAACUCGCCUACAUGAAGUCGGAAUCGCUAGUAAUCGCGGAUCAGCACGCCGCGGUGAAUACGUUCCCGGGCCUU